Molecule: ribosomal RNA, 770 nt
Filed under: Duganella radicis
Lineage: Bacteria; Pseudomonadati; Pseudomonadota; Betaproteobacteria; Burkholderiales; Oxalobacteraceae
Description: partial 23S ribosomal RNA
Rfam family: Bacterial large subunit ribosomal RNA
Source: RNAcentral
GUUAUAGGGACAAGUGAAUAAGUGCACAUGGCGGAUGCCUUGGCGAUUACAGGCGAUGAAGGACGUAGUAGCUUGCGAUAAGCUGCGGGGAGCUAGCAAACAAGCUUUGAUCCGCAGAUUUCCGAAUGGGGAAACCCGGCCCUUAGGGUCAUCACUCACUGAAUACAUAGGUGUGUGAAGCGAACGCGGCGAACUGAAACAUCUAAGUAGCUGCAGGAAAAGAAAUCAACCGAGAUUCCCAAAGUAGUGGCGAGCGAAAUGGGAAGAGCCUGUACGUGAUAGUCGUUUGGAUAGUGGAAUGCUCUGGAAAUGGCAGCCAUAGCGGGUGAUAGCCCCGUACACGAAAUUCAAGCGGUGGUACUAAGCGUACGACAAGUAGGGCGGGACACGAGAAAUCCUGUCUGAAUAUGGGGGGACCAUCCUCCAAGGCUAAAUACUCGUAAUCGACCGAUAGUGAACCAGUACCGUGAGGGAAAGGCGAAAAGAACCCCGGGAGGGGAGUGAAAUAGAUCCUGAAACCGUGUGCAUACAAACAGUAGGAGCCUCCUUGUGGGGUGACUGCGUACCUUUUGUAUAAUGGGUCAGCGACUUACAUUCAGUGGCAAGGUUAACCGAAUAGGGAAGCCGUAGAGAAAUCGAGUCCGAACAGGGCGAUAGUCGCUGGGUGUAGACCCGAAACCAAGUGAUCUACUCAUGGCCAGGAUGAAGGUGCGGUAACACGCACUGGAGGUCCGAACCCACUAAUGUUGAAAAAUUAGGGGAUGAGCUGU